AACCCAAACUUCCUUGAGUGAGUCUUCUGAGUAACCGAUUAAAUCAAUCAAAACUUUCAACAACGGAUCUCUUGGUUCUGGCAUCGAUGAAGAACGCAGCGAAAUGCGAUAAGUAAUGUGAAUUGCAGAAUUCAGUGAAUCAUCGAAUCUUUGAACGCACAUUGCGCCCGCCAGUAUUCUGGCGGGCAUGCCUGUUCGAGCGUCAUUACAUCCCUCAAGCCCCCGGGCUUGGUGUUGGGGAUCGGCGAGCCUCAGCGCCCGCCGUCCCCUAAAUUUAGUGGCGGUCACGCUGUAACUUCCUCUGCGUAGUAGCACACUUAGCACUGGGAAACAGCGCGGCCACGCCGUAAAACCCCCCAACUUUUGAACGUUUGACCUCGAAUCAGGUAGGACUACCCGCUGAACUUAAGCAUAUCAAUAAGGC
RNAcentral lists this ribosomal RNA (424 nucleotides) under Neonectria sp. nc_besc_196f. RNAcentral's name for it is "eukaryotic LSU rRNA". The stretch from base 52 to 205 matches the Rfam family "5.8S ribosomal RNA". The record is from RNAcentral. Lineage: Eukaryota; Fungi; Ascomycota; Sordariomycetes; Hypocreales; Nectriaceae.